UGGCAUGCAGGUUUCAUGUGGAUGUCA
Molecule: non-coding RNA, 27 nt
Filed under: Homo sapiens (human)
Lineage: Eukaryota; Metazoa; Chordata; Mammalia; Primates; Hominidae
Source: RNAcentral